RNAcentral lists this ribosomal RNA (504 nucleotides) under Triticum aestivum (bread wheat). Its description in RNAcentral is "partial small subunit ribosomal RNA". Lineage: Eukaryota; Viridiplantae; Streptophyta; Magnoliopsida; Poales; Poaceae. The record is from RNAcentral.
AUGUUAGAAUGGAAUAGCCUCUUUGAGGAUAUUAAGAAUGUUAUUCUUACAGACAGACCUGAUACUCUCGUAUGGAAAUACAAGACAAAAGGGCUAUAUACAGUGAAAUCCUUCUACAAUAUUGUUAAUUUUAGAGGGAUCCUGCCUGGGGUUAAGCCCGUGGUGUGGAAAACUAAAAUUCCCCCUCGUAUUCAAAUUUUUUGCUGGUUGAUAAUGAAUAACAAACUAUUGACCAGAGACAACCUGUGCAAGAGACAACAUGUUCCAGAUAAAACGUGUCUUUUUUGCUCUGAACAUGAGUCCUCUUGUCAUCUUUUUUUCUCUUGUGUGGUUGCUGCGGAACUUUGGAGAGUUGUCAGGGAUGCGGCCAAUAUCAAAGUUUAUGAAGAUAUUCAUGAAAUGAUGAUAGCCUGGGCCAGCAAACCUGACACGGCGGCUACGUUUAUACAAGCUGCGGCCAUGUGGGCUCUCUGGAGGAGCAGAAAUGAUAUAUGUUUUAACUGA